RNAcentral lists this transfer RNA (69 nucleotides) under Diplogale hosei (Hose's palm civet). RNAcentral describes it as "tRNA-Trp". Lineage: Eukaryota; Metazoa; Chordata; Mammalia; Carnivora; Viverridae. The record is from RNAcentral.
AGGAGUUUAGGUUAAAACAGACCAAAAGCCUUCAAAGUUUUAAGCAGAUCAUAAUUGAUCUAACUCCUG